CCGAACACCGGGCCGUUCGUGCACUUCCACCGAACAAGAAGGGAGGUCGGCGGCUUCAGCGGUGUUCGUGCAAAACUGUGUCCGAUUUUAGUUCCAUGAAAAUAGGGGCGAACACCGCUGUGCAUUCGUAUGUUUAAAAUGGCCGCAACCUCGUGUUCGGGAUACGAAUGGCGGCCACCCAGCAUUCGUCAAUUAAGCUGCGGUUAACCGCAGCUUCAGGGAGGUUAAUUGCCGGCACACUCCAGCUCCCAGG
Non-coding RNA from Pelobates cultripes (western spadefoot toad), 253 nucleotides. The record is from the annotation of a GenBank genome assembly. NCBI's taxonomy places the organism in Eukaryota, Metazoa, Chordata, Amphibia, Anura, Pelobatidae.